RNAcentral lists this ribosomal RNA (433 nucleotides) under uncultured bacterium. RNAcentral describes it as "bacterial SSU rRNA". It matches the Rfam family "Bacterial small subunit ribosomal RNA", at positions 352 to 782 of the family's 1533-position model. The record is from RNAcentral.
CAGUAAGGAAUAUUGGUCAAUGGGCGCAAGCCUGAACCAGCCAUGCCGCGUGCAGGAAGACGGCCCUACGGGUUGUAAACUGCUUUUAUACCGGAAUAAACUCCCGAACGUGUUCGGGACUGAAUGUACGGUAAGAAUAAGGAUCGGCUAACUCCGUGCCAGCAGCCGCGGUAAUACGGAGGAUCCAAGCGUUAUCCGGAUUUAUUGGGUUUAAAGGGUGCGUAGGCGGCUUAUUAAGUCAGGGGUGAAAGACGGUGGCUCAACCAUCGCAGUGCCUUUGAUACUGAUGAGCUUGAAUACACUAGAGGUAGGCGGAAUGUGACAAGUAGCGGUGAAAUGCAUAGAUAUGUCACAGAACACCAAUUGCGAAGGCAGCUUACUAUGGUUGUAUUGACGCUGAGGCACGAAAGCGUGGGGAUCAAACAGGAUUAGA